AUUUUCGAAAUUUUUGUUCAUACCACCUUCAGAACUCAUUUUGUUGUUUGCUUUGUACUCGUCCAUUUCCUACUCAUUCGAGUUCUUUAAGUUGGUUCGAGGUCGUUAGCCCAUUUAUUCGUCUGAAAUUUUUGAGUCUCAGUACUCGUGGUCGUCUACUUUUGUGGUUGUCUAACUUUUUAAGGUUCACAUAUUUGUGGUUGUCGCUUUGGUGGUUGUCCUACUUUCAAGCUUACUUGCUUGUAAUCAUUUGCUUCGCUGGUUGUUCGGAUUUUUAGGCUCAUGUACUUGUGGUCGUCACUUUGGUGGUCACCUAAAUUCUCAAGGUCACGCGCUCGUGGUCAUCUGCUUCUCUAGUAUGAGAAUGAGUGAGUUCGGGUCCACCAAUAGCCCCUUGUCGUCCAAACGUUGAAAAUUGGAUGACCGUGGGUUACCACGAAGUGUCAGUAUGGAUUCACUUGAUGAUAUGCUGUCCUUAGAGUCAUUACACACAGGUCCAUCUAGAGAUGUGCUAUGAAAUAACUCGUCUGGUUCUGAGUCUUCUUAAUUCAGCUCUGAAGUUGGGUCGUUAGGCUAUGCUUCAGCGAGUGGGGAUGAUGGUACUCCUCCACCCGAGGGGCUUAAUCAUCCCUUUAUCUUACUUGACGAAUGGGAGGUGAAUAAGCAUUGUUCCUUUCUUUCUGACUCUGGCUAGCUAAGUUAAGGUCUGACUUUCAGAUUCCUUAUAAUGUGCCCACUAGGAUAGCUAAAAUUGGCGAGAACUGUUACUCCCAUGAUGGAGAAGGUGUUGGGCUUUGUGAGGCGUCCUUUAUAAGUCGAUUGAGGCUUCCACUGAACAAACUCACUAGGAAGUUUCUUAGGAAGUUAUGUAUAGCUAUAUCAUAACUAGCACCCAACUCUUGGCGUGCUUUUAUGGGGGCUCAAAUCCUUUGGGGGAUUAUAAGUGAGGGCCAAAAGGCCCUUUCCAUGGAUGAAUUUUUAUACUGUUACAAGCCCAUUCAUGCUUCUAAGGCCAAGGGGAUGUAUUACUUCUAGUGUAGAAAAAAGGAGCGUCAGUUAGUCAUUAAGAUUCCCUCAUCCCAUAGGGACUAGAAGGAGAAAACUUUCUUUGUGCUUGGGUUUGAUUGGGUAUAUUGCCCUGAUGAGGUUACUGCAGAACCAGUAGGCUGUACUUUGGGGGUAUUACCCAAUUCUGGUGAGUUGCCUAACUAGCUUACUCGUUCGCUUUACUCUUUUUUAUUUUUUUUAUUUUUUAUAUACUAACUUGCUUUUCAAUUUUCAGCUCAAGUUUGCCAAGGUUAACUGCAAAGUAGCUAGGAAGAAUAGAAAGGGCAACAAGCUUCUUGGUUGCUGAACAUAACUGGAGGGUCUUGGUUACGGUGGACAACCUUCAUAGAUACUGUUCAGGACCUGUGCCCUCUGUAGUGGCCCGUUGUCGCGAGAGCACCUCCUAUAGACAUGUGUUUUAAUUUAGCUCGUUCAUUUCAUUUUUAGCAUAUGCAUUGACAUCUAUUUUGCAGAGAUAGAGGUGGGUGCAGCCAAGAAAAAUAAAAAGGUUCAGGAGGCGGCUACUCUUGCUACAGUAGUAAUUAAGAAGGGGAAGUUUCAACUUCCUAAGCCUGGUGACAAGAGGAAGUUUGGUGUGGACACUUCCUAAAAGCCCUUUGGGACCAUUACUCAUUCGAAGGAGACUCCAAUUUAUCCUUUAGUGAUUCCUAGUCAUCCGGCUUUUGUUGAGCAUCCAAGGGCACUUGGUUGGGGAAAAGGACCUUUCACUCCUCCCAAACCUCCCCUUCUCCUUAAUGAUGAUACUUAUGCUGUGGAGCGAGUCAUGUCUAUUAUCAAGGAGGAGGAUAUAAAUGAUUGUGACAAGUAUGCUCCUACAGCUUUUGGGGAGUCUGGGCUGCAUGACCUUGCCAAGGCAAUGGUGAGGAUGAAGACUCUUGAGCUAAGGCACGGGGACUAUGAGGACCAAGUGGUCAAUCUUCAGAAGUGUGUGAAGGGCAACAAUGAGGUCAUCAAAGAGCUGUAGGGAUCUGUCACCCCAUUAACAGAGGAAGUUGCUCUUUUGGGGGCAAAGUGAAAGAGCUCGAGGAUCAAUGCUCUUCUCAGGAAAACCUUUUCAUUGCUGUAGAGGAGGAGAAAUAUGCCUCUCUAAGGAGUUGGAAAAACUGCGAGGGGAGCCGAGCAAUGUUGAGACAAGUGCCAUUGCUAAGUACUCAUCCUCUCAUGAGUACCUUCAUGAUCUGGGCAUCCAGUAUGUGCAUGGAUUUGAAUACUUCCAAGCUUAAGCUUCUUUAGCCUUUAAGUACUUAGACUUUUCAAAGAUUGAAAUCCGCGCUGAGGAGGGUUCUAUUGCUACUAUGAUAAGUGAUGAUAUUGACCAAGAAGUUGAUGGUGCUGUUGAGGAGGAAAGAGGGGAUGACCAAGCUUGCCAUUAGACUUAGUUUAUUUUCUACACUUUCAUUCUCAUACAUUAGUGUUUGAUACUUUCAUUUGAGGCAAUGGGUUCUUGGUUUAUGGACAUGUAUAACUUUAUUGAAUGUAUAAGUUUCUUGUUAACUUUCUCAA
Long non-coding RNA from Quercus robur (English oak), 2571 nucleotides. RefSeq lists it as uncharacterized. The record is from RefSeq and is a predicted model, not a curated record. The transcript is spliced from 3 exons. Lineage: Eukaryota; Viridiplantae; Streptophyta; Magnoliopsida; Fagales; Fagaceae.